Molecule: long non-coding RNA, 1664 nt
Organism: Homo sapiens (human)
Lineage: Eukaryota; Metazoa; Chordata; Mammalia; Primates; Hominidae
Gene: DRAIC
Product: downregulated RNA in cancer, inhibitor of cell invasion and migration
Source: Ensembl
GGCAUAGCAAUGGCACUGCAAUGGGGGAGCCUGUUGCUGGGCUGGGCCAUCUCGCCACUGUCACCUGCCUGUUGAGGGGUGACGGUGGUUGUUGAGAGGCUGGAUCAGACCCCAGAGGUGACAUGGAUGUGGCAUAUUUGUUGGACUUACACAGCCUUGCAUUUUAUUUUCAUCUCUGUUCCUUCCUCCCAUGAGAUCUUGGGUGGUGUUUAUCAACCCUGAGUAAUCGUUUCUUUGUCUGCAAGAUGGAAUAAAAAGGCCUACCUCAUUGGGCUCGUGUGGGUGAGGAGAACUGAAGAGUCUGAGAGCGCGGCACGAGCCAGAGGCUACGGAAAACACUGCCCUCCUACACUCCACCUUGGAGAGACCCAGAAAAGAACAAGCUUCAUUUGUAAAAAAGGAAAACAACUCAGGCAAUGGGGGUGGCUUAAAUGUGCAGAUGCCUUCCACUUCUUCCAUCUGCCCUGUCUCUCCAAGAACCCCUAUGGCCCCGGUCUCAGAACAGAGCUGAGUGCAGAAAUGAAAAUCUAUGGCUCUGUGUUCCAAAACGAUGAAGAAUUUCAAGAUGGUGGCAGUGGUAAAAUCUUUCUCCAGGAAAAAUCUGUCCUUGGCCCAAUGUGUAAACACUUGCUGAGGAACUUGGAAUAACUUGCAGUGUCUUGCAGUAUUGUGAAACCAGCAACUUGUUCACAAUUCUUCUGAAUUUCUUGGGAAAUUUGAAGUGGAGUACCUGUACCAACAUGAAAUGACACGAAUUUAAGUGACGCUCAACAACGAAAAGCAAAAAGAACCAAAGAGGAAGCAACUGAAACAACAUCUGGAUGUAUUUAAAAAUAUACAAUGCCUCCAAAAUCAGGUGUCAUUAAUGAAAAUUCUGAAGAAAUGCCACCGGACAUAGCCAACGCACCUACGCUGUUGUUAUUCAUUUCCUGCUUUUCACAGAAAACAAUUUUGUUGCAUGGAAGAUCGUGAACUUCAAAGGGCAGAGGGGAAACUGUCCCUUGGCCUCUACCCCUCCAAGGCCCCACUUUUUUGUCAACACUCCUUGGACGCAGCAGAAGUAUGAACAUAAUAUGGUCCUGAAUGAGGCUGAGUCUUUGGGCGCAGAAGACCCGGGUUAAUAAAAAUAGGAAGGUAAGAAAAGAAAAGAAAAAUCAAGACACAUCAUAGGACUAAAUUCCUAUUAUUUAUCCACUCAGGAUUGACCACCCCUUUGGGCCAGAUAGUUGUACCCCCAUGUACCAGGUGGGCACAUGAAGACACAAGAAGUGCUGUGAUGGUUCAUUUUGCACGUCACCUUGCGUGGAGUAUGCCAACUCAUUGUUUGGUCAAACACUAGUCUGGACAUGGUGGUAAAGGUAUUUUUUAGAUGAGAUUAACACUUAAAUCAGUAAAGCAGGUUACCCACCAUACUACGGGUGGGCCCUGUCCAAUCAGUUGAAGGCAUUAAGAACAAAGAUUGAGGUUUCCUAAAGAAGAUGGAAUUCUCCUUGAGACUACAACAUAGAAACCCUAUCUGAGUUUCCAGCCUGUUGCCCUGUGGAAUUCAAACUCAGGACUCCGGUCUAUGACAUUAACCCUCACUUAACUUUUCAGCCUGCCAGCCUGCCCUAUGGAUUUCGGACUUGCCAGCCACACAAUUCCUUAAAAUAAAUCUCUCCGUC